AUACGGAGGAUGCGAGCGUUAUCCGGAUUUAUUGGGUUUAAAGGGAGCGUAGGCGGGAGCUUAAGUCAGCGGUUAAAUGGUGCGGCUCAACCGUGCCCUGCCGUUGAAACUGGGUUUCUUGAGAGUGCAAGAGGCGGAUGGAAUUAAUGGUGGAGCGGUGAAAUGCUUUGAUAUCAUGAAGAACUCCGAUUGCGAAGGCAGUCCGCUGGGGCACGUCUGACGCUGAUGCUCGAAGGUGCGGGAAUCAAACAGGAUUAGAUACCCUGGUAGUCCGCACGGUAAACGAUGAUUACCCGCUGUCGGCGGUAGACAGUCGGCGGCCAAGCGAAAGCGAUAAGUAAUCCACCUGGGGAGUACGCCGGCAACGGUGAAACUCAAAUGAAUUGACGGGG
This 392-nucleotide ribosomal RNA is filed under the name uncultured bacterium. Its description in RNAcentral is "partial 16S ribosomal RNA". It matches the Rfam family "Bacterial small subunit ribosomal RNA", at positions 523 to 918 of the family's 1533-position model. The record is from RNAcentral.